GUUCCCUAUGAUGUUUGAAUUCUAACCAUGCUAAUACUGAUCAAUCCCUGAUUGAAAUAUUCUUCUUUAUGAUUUUCUGAGGGAGCU
Molecule: small nucleolar RNA, 87 nt
Organism: Cornus florida
Lineage: Eukaryota; Viridiplantae; Streptophyta; Magnoliopsida; Cornales; Cornaceae
Product: small nucleolar RNA snoR53Y
Exons: 1
Source: RefSeq, a predicted model, not a curated record